This 389-nucleotide ribosomal RNA is filed under the name uncultured bacterium. RNAcentral's name for it is "bacterial SSU rRNA". It matches the Rfam family "Bacterial small subunit ribosomal RNA", at positions 28 to 417 of the family's 1533-position model. The record is from RNAcentral.
GACGAACGCUGGCGGCGUGCUUAACACAUGCAAGUCGAGCGGUAAGGCCCUUUCGGGGGUACACGAGCGGCGAACGGGUGAGUAACACGUGGGUGACCUGCCCUCAGCUCUGGGAUAAGCCUGGGAAACCGGGUCUAAUACUGGAUAUGACUCCAUGACGCAUGUUGUGGGGUGGAAAGCCUUGUGCGGCUGAGGAUGGGCCCGCGGCCUAUCAGCUUGUUGGUGGGGUGANGGGCCUACCAAGGCGACGACGGGUAGCCGGCCUGAGAGGGCGACCGGCCACACUGGGACUGAGGCACGGCCCAGACUCCUACGGGAGGCAGCAGUGGGGAAUCUUGCGCAAUGGGCGAAAGCCUGACGCAGCGACGCCGCGUGAGGGAUGACGGCCU